AGAGUUUGAUCCUGGCUCAGGAUGAACGCUAGCGGCAGGCCUAAUACAUGCAAGUCGAACGGGGUCCUUCGGGGCCCAGUGGCGCACGGGUGCGUAACGCGUAUGCAACCUACCUUCGACUGGGGGAUAGCCCGGAGAAAUCCGGAUUAAUACCGCAUAACGCGACUUGAGGACAUCCGAAGGUCGCUAAAGAUUCACCGGUCGGAGAUGGGCAUGCGUGCCAUUAGCUAGUUGGUGGGGUAACGGCCCACCAAGGCGACGAUGGCUAGGGGUUCUGAGAGGACGGUCCCCCACACUGCCACUGAGAUACGGGCCAGACUCCUACGGGAGGCAGCAGUAGGGAAUAUUGGGCAAUGGGCGGAAGCCUGACCCAGCCAUGCCGCGUGCAGGAUGAAGGCCUUCUGGGUUGUAAACUGCUUUUAUCGGGGAAGAAAACGCCCAUGCGUGGGAAACUGACGGUACCCGAGGAAUAAGCACCGGCUAACUCCGUGCCAGCAGCCGCGGUAAUACGGAGGGUGCAAGCGUUGUCCGGAUUUAUUGGGUUUAAAGGGUGCGUAGGCGGCCCCUUAAGUCAGCGGUGAAAGCCCGGGGCUCAACCCCGGAACCGCCGUUGAUACUGGGGGGCUUGAGUACAGACGAGGUAGGCGGAAUUGAGGGUGUAGCGGUGAAAUGCUUAGAUACCCUCAAGAACACCGAUUGCGUAGGCAGCUUACUAGGCUGUGACUGACGCUGAGGCACGAAAGCGUGGGGAGCGAACAGGAUUAGAUACCCUGGUAGUCCACGCCGUAAACGAUGAUUACUUGAUGUCGGCGACAGACUGUCGGCGUCUUAGCGAAAGCGUUAAGUAAUCCACCUGGGGAGUACGCCCGCAAGGGUGAAACUCAAAGGAAUUGACGGGGGACC
This 903-nucleotide ribosomal RNA is filed under the name Flexibacteraceae bacterium K-2. Its description in RNAcentral is "bacterial SSU rRNA". It matches the Rfam family "Bacterial small subunit ribosomal RNA", at positions 8 to 922 of the family's 1533-position model. Lineage: Bacteria; Pseudomonadati; Bacteroidota; Cytophagia; Cytophagales; Cytophagaceae. The record is from RNAcentral.